This 2576-nucleotide long non-coding RNA is filed under the name Numida meleagris (helmeted guineafowl). RNAcentral describes it as "lncRNA (ENSNMEG00000013212.1)". The record is from RNAcentral. Lineage: Eukaryota; Metazoa; Chordata; Aves; Galliformes; Numididae.
GGAGAAGUCUUAAACCAAAUGGCAUUUGUGACCAAGCAGAGAAUUUUUGGAGACACCUCAUCCUCAAGUCAGUGCAUGCCCAAAAGCAAGUUCAUUUCUAACAGCGAAUUAACAGCAGAGACAUGAUCCUCCACCUUGAUCACCGGGAUUCUUGGCUCAGGGAGAAUUGUUUUCUGGAGAAAUCCUGGAGUUCAAAAAAGGCCUGAAGAAUCAUGUUGCCUACUUUAAGACAGAGAUUGGGUGGGAGGAAGGAAACCAGAUGAAUUGUGUUGCCUAAACAAUUUGUUAUGAAUUAUCCAGUCAACUGUAAGGAAAACAUAUGGACUAAAACUUCAAGAAAUUCCUCCAGCGGUUUAAAAUCCGAGCGAUGCUGAUAUUGAUCGGGUGUAUUUUAUGCAGCUUGGCUAAAUGAUGCUGCAGUGGCAGGAAAGGGCACCUGAGAGGACUGGGAUGGCAAAAAAUCCAGUGUACAAACCAGAAACUGUUUGAACUGGAGCUUAUGAUUGGGAGUGUGCAAAGUUAUUGAUAUUUUUUAAAGUGAAGGUCUUGUUUGGGAGAUAGUUAAGAACACAACUGACGCACAUUUCUAGCUCUGUUAUGCCCAUACCUAAUUGCUGCUAUGCACUAUUCCUGCGAAAGUUUAAUUUUUGCUGUUGAAAUUGCCUUUCUCAGCUUUUUCUUCAAUGGUUGAAGGAGAACACUGAACAAUGAGUUGACAAAGACUGAAAAAAGAUGUAUUUGCAUGGAAAUUACAGACCUUGAUGUUGAGGGCUCUCAAAUUCUAUAAACAAAAUAUACACUUAUGAUAGUAAUGGAAAAACUAUCCCCAAAAGGAAAACGUGAGAGUUUCAGAAUUUCGGCAAAAACCAAAAAGAGCCAUUUUCAUUCCAGCAGAAGCCUUCAAAAUGCUGUGUUUUAUUCAGACUCUGGGAAGAACAGCUGAGCCCUCUGAAUGCCCUCUGCCUCCCGAGGAGCCGAGGCUCCUCCUGCCGUGCCCCCGAUGGGCUGGGACGGGGCUGUGCCCUCCCCACGAAUGCCACCACCAAUUAAACCACGGUGAUGCAAAUGCAGAGCACGGCGCAGGGAACUCUGCUGCCUGCAUAAUGGCCGCCAUCGCCACCUGCAUCCCGUCACUCUCCUCCAGAGCACUGAAAUUACCCCUGGGACCAGUUUCUUGGUGGGACACCCCCCGGCACCACCGCCUCCAGCAAGGUGUGUGUGGAGCAGAACGGAGGGAAGGGCACGGGGCAGAGCCCUUGAUUUGGAAGAAAAGUUAUUCCUCAUCAAACCAACGGCCACAGUGCAGCUUGACUCUGAGCUUCUCUUUUUCCAUUAACUGCUUAGCAAAGGUUUUCCUCAUGUUUUGCGCUACAUCAAGGAGAUUUUAUGUUCACAUCACUUCAGCAACUUCUGCAUGGGCUGUUGCUGUUGUUACUGUCCACCAUGGCCAUAGCGCAGCGGCACCACCUGAGGAGCCGAGCGGUCUCCCGUGAGGUGCUCCCUGCAGAGCCGGCAGUGGGCACCCCAAUGGGGCAGCGCGGUUUAGCAGGAGGGGCUCUGGCAGGUUCCCAUUUCAGCCCCAGUUUGCGAUCCGUUCCCACACUGAUGGGUGUUUGCACUCGGUGCCGCCAUUCAAGGUAUCCCCUUGGAUUGUCACAUGCACAGCUCGCUUGGCUUAUUUGAUACCGCUCUCAGUCGGUUCAAAUCUUAUUUAUCAAAUAGACAGCAUUUUGUUUCGAUGGGUGAUUUUUCAUCUUCCAUUAGUGAAGUUGUUCCCAAGGUUCCCCAGGGCUCUAUAUUGGCCCCGUUGUUAUUUUGUGUUUAUAUGCUGCCACUGGGUUAUAUUAUUCAUCAGCAUGGAGUAGCUUUCCAUUUCUAUGCAGAUGAUUCUCAAAUUUAUUUGUCUGCGGAACCCAGUGCUGUCUCAGCUGUCUCCAUGCUAUCAGCCUGUCUCUCUGACAUCACAAGAUAGAUGUGGCCAAACUUUUUGCAGUUCAGUUCAGACAGUGGAGGUGACGCUGCCUCGAUGCCAGCAUUUCAUUUCCUGGGAUGAUGCCUGAGCACCGCUGCAGCUCUGGGUGGUGGGAUGGGGAACAGCUCCCCGCCUCUUGUUGGCACUCCCAGUUUGGGGCCUCUGUUUGCAAGCGUUGUGCAGAAGGGUUGUGUCCAGCUUACAGAUCUGCUAAGGCGCCAUGCGCCGUCAUUCCAGCAAAAUGAAAUCGAUGGUUUUGAAAUGCAUUGAUGUUUCUAAGUGUUGGUAGCACUUAAAGAACACGCCUGUAGGUACAGCCCCACGUAGCGCCAUGCACGCCCCUUCUGCAGCCACAGUGAAUGCGGUGUUUCUGUGAUGAGGGAGCAGUCAGUCCUGGCCCCUUGAGGACCAGUGCUGCUCUCUCAGAGUGAGCCCAGUUCCCUGUCCGUGGCUGUCCCAGAACUCUGGCUUCCACUGGUCAGAGUGCUGCCUGCAUGGUUACACAGUUCUUCACAAGUAGGCCAUUUGUUUCUAUAAGGAGCAACCAACUAGAUCUCACAGAGACAUCAAAUAAAUCCAUUUCAUACAUUAUUUGUUAACUUCA